RNAcentral lists this ribosomal RNA (253 nucleotides) under uncultured bacterium. Its description in RNAcentral is "partial 16S ribosomal RNA". It matches the Rfam family "Bacterial small subunit ribosomal RNA", at positions 524 to 776 of the family's 1533-position model. The record is from RNAcentral.
UACAGAGGGUGCAAGCGUUAAUCGGAAUUACUGGGCGUAAAGCGAGCGUAGUCGGUUAUCUAAGUCGGGUGUGAAAUCCCCGGGCUCAACCUGGGAAUUGCAUUCGAUACUGGAUAGCUAGAGUUCGGCAGAGGGAAGCGGAAUUCCCGGUGUAGCGGUGAAAUGCGCAGAUAUCGGGAGGAACACCGGUGGCGAAGGCGGUUCUCUGGGCCUGUACUGACGCUGAGGAGCGAAAGCGUGGGGAGCAAACAGG